This 465-nucleotide ribosomal RNA is filed under the name Vreelandella stevensii. RNAcentral describes it as "partial 16S ribosomal RNA". It matches the Rfam family "Bacterial small subunit ribosomal RNA", at positions 338 to 795 of the family's 1533-position model. The record is from RNAcentral. Lineage: Bacteria; Pseudomonadati; Pseudomonadota; Gammaproteobacteria; Oceanospirillales; Halomonadaceae.
CCUACGGGGGGCAGCAGUGGGGAAUAUUGGACAAUGGGGGGAACCCUGAUCCAGCCAUGCCGCGUGUGUGAAGAAGGCCCUCGGGUUGUAAAGCACUUUCAGUGAGGAAGAACGCCUGGUGGUUAAUACCCAUCAGGAAAGAUAUCACUCACAGAAGAAGCACCGGCUAACUCCGUGCCAGCAGCCGCGGUAAUACGGAGGGUGCGAGCGUUAAUCGGAAUUACUGGGCGUAAAGCGCGCGUAGGUGGCUUGAUAAGCCGGUUGUGAAAGCCCCGGGCUCAACCUGGGAACGGCAUCCGGAACUGUCAAGCUAGAGUGCAGGAGAGGAAGGUAGAAUUCCCGGUGUAGCGGUGAAAUGCGUAGAGAUCGGGAGGAAUACCAGUGGCGAAGGCGGCCUUCUGGACUGACACUGACACUGAGGUGCGAAAGCGUGGGUAGCAAACAGGAUUAGAUACCCCGGUAGUC